UUUGAAUCUCAACUAUGAUCAUCUUGAUUCUAUUGGGAUUGAUCCGCAGGUUACUUUAGAAGGUCCAAUUGAGGAUGUCGCUUGGUUGAAAGCUCAAGAAGCUGAGGAUUUGCUUAGAGACUUGGGCAUACUGAGUCCUUUUUCAGCAAGGAAUUCACCUCGUGGUAUAUUUUGUAGCCGACUUUGAAUCUUCGGUCCAUCAGUGCCAUUGGAUAUGACAUGGACUACACUUUGAUACAUUACAAUGUGAUGGCUUGGGAAGGACGGGCUUAUGAUUACUGCAUGGACAAUCUGCGAAACAUGGGUUUCCCAGUUGAUGGACUUGCAUUUGAUCCUGACUUGGUAAUUAGGGGUCUUGUCAUAGACAAAGAGAGAGGCAAUCUGGUUAAAGCCGAUCGAUUUGGUUAUGUAAAGAG
RNAcentral lists this unclassified non-coding RNA (416 nucleotides) under Hevea brasiliensis (rubber tree). Lineage: Eukaryota; Viridiplantae; Streptophyta; Magnoliopsida; Malpighiales; Euphorbiaceae. The record is from RNAcentral.